GAUGAAGAACGCAGCGAAUUGCGAUAAGUAAUGUGAAUUGCAGAUUUUCAGUGAAUCAUCGAAUCUUUGAACGCAUCUUGCGCUCCUUGGUAUUCUGAGGAGCAUGCCUGUUUGAGUGUCAUUAAAUUCUCAACUACACUGACUUUGAAUUGGUGUGGCUUGGAUUUGGGGGGAAAAUUGUUGUGGGCUUUUUGUAUAGUCUGCUCCCCUGAAAUUGAUUAGCGGUACCUUUGUGGAACUGUCUACAGGUGUGAUAAUUAUCUACAUCUUAGACAUCUGCUGGAAUGCUGCUUUCUAAACCUUACUUGUAUUGACAAUCUUGACCUCAAAUCAGGUAGGACUACCCGCUGAACUUAAGCAUAUCAAUAAGCGGAGGA
RNAcentral lists this unclassified non-coding RNA (377 nucleotides) under soil metagenome. Its description in RNAcentral is "partial contains 5.8S ribosomal RNA, internal transcribed spacer 2, and large subunit ribosomal RNA". The stretch from base 1 to 121 matches the Rfam family "5.8S ribosomal RNA", at positions 35 to 154 of the family's 154-position model. The record is from RNAcentral.